RNAcentral lists this ribosomal RNA (240 nucleotides) under uncultured bacterium. Its description in RNAcentral is "partial 16S ribosomal RNA". It matches the Rfam family "Bacterial small subunit ribosomal RNA", at positions 94 to 334 of the family's 1533-position model. The record is from RNAcentral.
AGCGGCGGACGGGUGAGUAACGCGUGGGUAACCUGCCUCAUACAGGGGGAUAACAGUUAGAAAUGGCUGCUAAUACCGCAUAAGACCACAGUACUGCAUGGUACAGUGGUAAAAACUCCGGUGGUAUGAGAUGGACCCGCGUCUGAUUAGGUAGUUGGUGGGGUAAAGGCCUACCAAGGCGACGAUCGGUAGCCGGACUGAGAGGUUGAACGGCCACAUUGGGACUGAGACACGGCCCAG